CUGGUGGAUGCUACCAGUAGCAUUUGCUUGUCUCAAAGAUUAAAGCAUGUAUGUCUAACAAGUAUGCAUGGCUGAGACAGUGAAACUGCAAAUGGCUCAGUAAAUUGGUUAAUCCCUUUGGUCACCCAUUCCUGUCCUAUUUGGAUGAUAACUUGUAAUUCUAGAGCUAAUACAUGCUGGUGGAUUCUGAAUCCCCUUGGGAUGCAUGCAUUUAUCAGAUCAAAACCAACGCUGUCAACCUCCCCCUGGCCAUGUCAGGUAUGUGGGCAGCAGUGGCUUUGGUGACUCAGGACCACCUUGGGCUGAUCACACACACCCCUGCGGUAUCAGUGACCCAUUCAAAGUCUGCCUUAUCAAUUUUUUUGUGUGUUUUUGUAUUUUUUAGGGCUGCACUCACAGCAUAUGGAGGUUCCCAGGCUAGGGGUCUAAUCAGAGCUGUAGCUGCCGGCCUUCGCCAGAGCCACAGCAACGCCAGAUCCAAGCCAUGUCUGUGACCUACACCACAGCUCACGGCAAUGCUGGAUCCUUAACCCACUGUGCAAGGCCGGGAAUCGAACCCUCAAUCUCAUGGUUCCUAGUCAGAUUCGUUAACCACUGAGCCACGACGGGAACUCCUGCCCUAUCAACUUUUGAAUGCAGUUACUGUGCCUCACAUGGUGACCACAAAAGAUGCAGGAUCAUAGUUUGAUUCCAGAGAAGGAACAUGAGAAAUGGCUACCACUUCCAAAGAAGGCAGCAGGGGAACAAAUUAACCACUACUGACUGAGGGAGGCAGUGACAAAAUAUAAGAAUACAGGACUCUUAAUAUUAUAAAAAUGGCCAUACUAUCCAAAGCAAUCU
Molecule: non-coding RNA, 840 nt
Filed under: Sus scrofa (pig)
Lineage: Eukaryota; Metazoa; Chordata; Mammalia; Artiodactyla; Suidae
Description: Eukaryotic small subunit ribosomal RNA
Rfam family: Eukaryotic small subunit ribosomal RNA
Source: Rfam by way of RNAcentral